Molecule: long non-coding RNA, 418 nt
Organism: Dreissena polymorpha
Lineage: Eukaryota; Metazoa; Mollusca; Bivalvia; Myida; Dreissenidae
Exons: 2
Source: RefSeq, a predicted model, not a curated record
CCGCAUCAUCAGCAAGCGCUCAGAAACUACAACUCCAACGACAUGAGUUUCCAAUUUAGAACAACCCCACAUGUGUUGAUGUUGAGAUCAAUUGGAUUUGGGGCGACCGGCCUGAAAAUACACGUUCUUUUGUGCAAGUUGUUUUUGCGUGAAACGCAAUAUGAACAUCAUCUUAUGUUUGACGUUUUCACCAGACUGUCAACGCUAUUGACAGAAAAUGUGUAUAAUCAGCAGGUGAUAUGGAAUGCAUAUUGCAGUCUUGAUAGGGACGAACUUAGCAUAGUGUAUCUCGCAUGGAACGUUGGAAGAGUUUUGCAAGACUGUGACUUGCUUGACCACGUGGACGAGAUUAGAGCCAACACUCUUUAAUGGAGCUUCCGUAUUUUCUGUAAAAUGAUCAAUAAAUUUACAAUUAUGA